Molecule: ribosomal RNA, 253 nt
Filed under: uncultured bacterium
Lineage: Bacteria
Description: partial 16S ribosomal RNA
Rfam family: Bacterial small subunit ribosomal RNA
Source: RNAcentral
UACGUAGGGGGCUAGCGUUGUCCGGAAUCAUUGGGCGUAAAGAGCGUGUAGGCGGUCCGGUAAGUCCGCUGUGAAAGUCGGGGGCUCAACCCUCGAAUGCCGGUGGAUACUGUCGGGCUAGAGUCCGGAAGAGGAGAGUGGAAUUCCUGGUGUAGCGGUGGAAUGCGCAGAUAUCAGGAGGAACACCAAUGGCGAAGGCAGCUCUCUGGUACGUGACUGACGCUGAGACGCGAAAGCGUGGGGAGCGAACAGG